UGAAAGCUUCCCAGUGUGAUUCUUUUUUAAGCCAAGAUUGUGAACCAGUACACUAAAGGUGCUUGAGGAGACAAGAGAUGUUAUCAGAAAUCAGUUUACAUGCUCUCUCUGGGAACCAGUGAGUCGUUUACAGCAGUCUGCAUAUACUAUCUGAACAAAUGAACUUCGUCACAAAAUGAAUUCAGUUGGAGUUGUUUUCUUCUGCCAAGAAAUAAGAAAAAUAACGUAUCUCUUCAUUCAAUGAAUAUUUACUAAGCAUCUUCUAUGUAACAGACAAUGCUCUCUAGGUGCUGAGAAACAACAGAAUGAAGCAGACAAAAAUCUGCUCUUUCCUGGAGUGUACAUUAGAGUGGUGUAGACAAACAACAGAAAAAAUAAGAAGGAUUAUGAAUGAUGGAAGUUAUGCUCACAUGCUGGAGUGGUCCACUUUAAGAAGAUCCAGCCUAAAGAUCUGCUAUCGUCUAUAGCAUGAAGUUAUUAAACCCCCAAGGAUCCUUCGACUGAGAGAAGUUUUGAAAUAAAUCAACGAAAAUGAGCACAGCCUAUUUUCUGAACAUGGCACAUCACAGCUGCUUGACAGAAUGAGUACAGGUUUGCUUGUUUUUAAUCGAAUAAUAUCCCUUAAGUUUUGCAAGUUGUGGAAAGCAGUUUGAUAGACUCCAAGAAAUGUAUUCAAUUAUUUCAUGUACAGAAUCAGCAAGAAAAUGUUAAAAGGG
This is a long non-coding RNA of Suricata suricatta (meerkat), 716 nucleotides long. RefSeq lists it as uncharacterized. The transcript has 5 exons. The record is from RefSeq and is a predicted model, not a curated record. Lineage: Eukaryota; Metazoa; Chordata; Mammalia; Carnivora; Herpestidae.